UACGAACGCUGGCGGCGUGCUUAACACAUGCAAGUCGAACGGAAAGGCCCUGCUUUUGUGGGGUGCUCGAGUGGCGAACGGGUGAGUAACACGUGAGUAAACUGCACUUGACUUUGGGGUAACUUCAGGAAACUGGGGCUAAUACCGGAUAGGAGCUACUGCUGCAUGGUGGGGGUUGGAAAGUUUCGGCGGUUGGGGAUGGAUUAGCGGGUUAUCCGCUUGUUGGUGGGGUAGUGGCUUACCAGGGCUUUGACGGGUAGCCGGCCUGGGAGGGUGACCGGCCACAUUGGGACUGAGAUACGGCCCAGACUCCUACGGGAGGCAGCAGGGGGGAAUAUUGCACAAUGGGCGGAAGCCUGAGGCAGCAACGCCGCGUGCGGGAUGACGGCCUUCGGGUUGUAAACCGCUUUCGCCUGUGACGAAGCCUUAGUGACGGUAAUGGGUAAAGAAGCACCGGCUAACUACGUG
Molecule: ribosomal RNA, 468 nt
Filed under: uncultured bacterium
Lineage: Bacteria
Description: partial 16S ribosomal RNA
Rfam family: Bacterial small subunit ribosomal RNA
Source: RNAcentral